GUACUUGUCAUCCACCUCUCCUUUGAAUUCUGGCUCCACAGGAUCGACAAGUAGUACAGCUUCAGGGACAUCCAGGGGUUUGCCUCUUGGAGAUAACCGGUCUUCUGGCAGUGGCAUGUAUCUUUGCCUGUUAUCUGCUACUACCAUGUAGUGAAACUUGUCCUUCCUGAGUUUGAAUACAAUCCUGGUUUGAGGGAGGUUGAAAGCAGGCCAUUCCUGCAAGUGCUCAAAGAUGGCGUAGGAAUAGAAACCUGAGGAGUUUCGGAGCAUUAUAAACCUCUUGUCUAAGUUCAAAGGGGCAAGCUGUCCUUCAAGCGAGGGAUCCCACAAUUUUGUAAAUGAGAUUUCUACUUGUUCCUCAUUUUCCACUAUAACUUUAAAAUAUGUUCCUUUAAUCCUGCACGGUAACAUAUAAUUAGUGCUCCACAUUAGCGUCAUAUGCUUAAAAAGAAAAAAAAGAAAAAGAUAGAAAACUUAUUGCUAUACACAUAGGAUGUUCCUGUUGUUCCUGUACUUCCUUCCUUGCUCCAGACAAGGUCCCAAUACCCUCUGUCAGACUCAUUAUUUCGAACUUCAAGCAAAUUGCUGAUGCCAUUGUAACGUAUACCAGUUACUAUUCCCUCAGGUUUUGAUAUUGUGACUUGGAGUAUGCCAUUGUCCAUCACCACAUGACGUUCUUGGAUAUGCAAUUUCACCCUUUGGCUUGACAUGGUGAUCUAGAGCAGACCUCUUGGAAGAAACAAAAUGCUAGAUGUUGAUCUUGUUAGGAGGCAGCAGGUCGAUCAAUUUCUAAUAAAAAGUACUAGAGGCUUCAAG
RNAcentral lists this unclassified non-coding RNA (816 nucleotides) under Hevea brasiliensis (rubber tree). The record is from RNAcentral. Lineage: Eukaryota; Viridiplantae; Streptophyta; Magnoliopsida; Malpighiales; Euphorbiaceae.